UAACACAUGCAAGUCGAGCGGGCGUAGCAAUACGUCAGCGGCAGACGGGUGAGUAACGCGUGGGAACGUACCUUUUGGUUCGGAACAACACAGGGAAACUUGUGCUAAUACCGGAUAAGCCCUUACGGGGAAAGAUUUAUCGCCGAAAGAUCGGCCCGCGUCUGAUUAGCUAGUUGGUGAGGUAAUGGCUCACCAAGGCGACGAUCAGUAGCUGGUCUGAGAGGAUGAUCAGCCACAUUGGGACUGAGACACGGCCCAAACUCCUACGGGAGGCAGCAGUGGGGAAUAUUGGACAAUGGGCGCAAGCCUGAUCCAGCCAUGCCGCGUGAGUGAUGAAGGCCCUAGGGUUGUAAAGCUCUUUUGUGCGGGAAGAUAAUGACGGUACCGCAAGAAUAAGCCCCGGCUAACUUCGUGCCAGCAGCCGCGGUAAUACGAAGGGGGCUAGCGUUGCUCGGAAUCACUGGGCGUAAAGGGUGCGUAGGCGGGUCUUUAAGUCAGGGGUGAAAUCCUGGAGCUCAACUCCAGAACUGCCUUUGAUACUGAAGAUCUUGAGUUCGGGAGAGGUGAGUGGAACUGCGAGUGUAGAGGUGAAAUUCGUAGAUAUUCGCAAGAACACCAGUGGCGAAGGCGGCUCACU
RNAcentral lists this ribosomal RNA (637 nucleotides) under uncultured Alphaproteobacteria bacterium. Its description in RNAcentral is "bacterial SSU rRNA". It matches the Rfam family "Bacterial small subunit ribosomal RNA", at positions 49 to 730 of the family's 1533-position model. The record is from RNAcentral. Lineage: Bacteria; Pseudomonadati; Pseudomonadota; Alphaproteobacteria.